RNAcentral lists this long non-coding RNA (2073 nucleotides) under Neogobius melanostomus (round goby). RNAcentral describes it as "lncRNA (ENSNMLG00000001178.1)". Lineage: Eukaryota; Metazoa; Chordata; Actinopteri; Gobiiformes; Gobiidae. The record is from RNAcentral.
ACUGUGGGCUAGCGCCACUUAAACAGUAUUUACAGCCAAGUUUGAGUGAAAAAAAUGAUUUCCAUUGUGUAAUUGGAUGAACAAUAUCCCUCUGUCCCUUUGUCUUUUCUGUCAGCGUAGUAUUUACUCUCACGGACAAUUAAUGAGUAAAAAAACACAACAUGCUACGACACCCGCAGUGGCGCUUAUGGCCUCUAGGGGCACGAGUUACUUAGUACUGCUUUAAAUUUUGUACUUUUUUUGUCCUUUAUUUAUCCAGGAUAAAACUCGAGUGUCCCUAAUAUGAGGCCUUUCACACCAGGGCUGCACAAAAGUUGAAAAAGUUUCCCAAUUUCAAUGUGCUUUUAAAUAUCAAUUUUUCCCAUCACUCCUGUUUACUUAAAUAGAUAAGUCUUGCUGUGACUUGUAUAAACCCUGCAGUAGCGAUCUUGAUUGGAUUGUGCAGCUCUAAUAAAGAACUAAAGUGUCCAAAUACUUGUGGGUCUGACUAUAUAUGACGGUCACUAUAGUUUCUUGAUGUUUACAGAGAUCAUGCUGCCCUGCGAGUUCUGCGAGGAGCUCUUUCCAGAAGACGAUCUCAUCUUGCACCAGACUGGCUGCAGUCCGGCCUCCGCCUUCGCCUCGUUCAGUAAACAGACCUCGUCUCUGCCCAGAGAGGACGGCACGGCCCGGGACGGCCCCAGAUUCGUGUUCAAAAGCCCCAGUCAGCCCAGUCAGCCCAGCCGUAUGACCUCCAUGUUCUCCUCAUUCCCCCAGUACCCCCGGCCUCUGUCCCCAGCUCCUACAGCCCCCCGGCCAGCCCACUAGAGGGAGACAUACUCAUCCCUGUGAGUUCUGCGGAGUGGCCCUGGAGGAGGCUGUGGUGUUCCACCAUCAGGAUAAGUGCGACAUGCGCCCCCAGACCUCGCUCCAGCUGAACAACAUGACAACAUCUACAAAAGAACUCAACUCGUCUAAAGACAUACCGGCCCAGACGUCUCCAGACUUCACACGGAGGAUAAAACACCAAGGGGACGUCUCAGAAGAGAUGUUCCGAUUAGACGAGGACAGAUCGACGGAGCUCGGCAUGUGGCCUCAGCAGCCGCUCAAUAGUGACCGGCCUUUUGAAGACGCUGAAGGAGCGUCUCAAAGAGGGCGAGCUGAAGGUAACGAGGCCCGAGGCAACAGACGGAAUCACGUCACAAAGUUGCCCAAGAAGCAGAACGAAGAUCCACAAGACGAGUGAGGAGGGAAGAAAACAUGCCAAAUCCUCUACGAACCCGUAUAAAGCCACACUGCGGAACAUACCGGGCCACCAGAUCAACUAUAAAACAAUGACCGGGGUUUGGCGACGCGUGCUGAGAGAGUGAACUUCUGUAUUUUACCAAUAAAAUAACCGCUAUAAUGAAAUGAAUGCUUGUAUUUUAUUCACAAAGUUGCGCGGUGUGGCUUUAAGUCUCUAACACAUCAUAAGUAAGUGCCUGCAUUAUUGUCCUGCAGUUAGUUCGGACAUGGAAUCAUCAAACUUAUCAGACUAGUUGUUUUUUUUCUCCCAUUGUUUGACAUGUUUCUCUGUUUACCGUCUAAUCUAAACUACAGUGUAUGUAUCUUAUUUACUCACAUUAUCUUUUCAAAGGCUUCCUGAAACGUGUCCACUGAAGCACUUUUAUCAGUUAUUUUAUCAAAAAAAGGGCUUGUUUGACAGAAAUGAUGACAAUGAUUUGAUGUUAUUGACUAAAAGCUUAGCGAUGAUCUUCCUUCUUUUUUUUUUAUACUGUCUUUUACUUAUUCUUAUUUUCAAAUCUUUGUAACUGUUGACAUGUGAUAAAAUAACAUUUAAGGUGUGUCUUGUUUUUUUGGUUUGUUUUCAAAUUAGAAAUAAAAUAUUGUAACUUCAACGGCUCGGGUAAAGGAUCUGGGAAGUGUUUUUGGAGAUUUGGGAUGAUUUAAUGGUGUUUAAUAUAAUGUGUUUAAUGAGAGUGUUCCGGUUUAUGGCCUGUUCCCCGAAUCCAUCACAUCAAUCCUAAAAUGUUUUUGAAACUACUCAUUUUCACUAAAUUUAGCUCUGGUGGUUAUAGUAGUGUUCAGGAUGAG